This 1035-nucleotide long non-coding RNA is filed under the name Strigops habroptila (Kakapo). RNAcentral describes it as "lncRNA (ENSSHBG00005001362.1)". Lineage: Eukaryota; Metazoa; Chordata; Aves; Psittaciformes; Psittacidae. The record is from RNAcentral.
UUUUUUUUCUCUUGCAUCCCAUGCUUAAAAUACUACUGGGAUUAAAAAUUAGAAGUUGCUGUCCCAUAAUAGACCACACUGACCUCUAUAUUUCAGCAGUGCUGCUAGGAUCAGCAUGCAAAUGACAUUGUUAGAUCUCAGUGCAACUCGGAAGCCUGCAUUUUGCUUUAGUGUGCUGCCCUACCUGACCCUCAACUAUCUGCCCUAAAAUACACUGUGUUUUUAAGCAACUGCCACACUGCUACCAUCAUCCUUCUUUUAAAGGCUCCAGCAUUGAAGACUCCCUCCAAGUCAGGUUGUCAGGUCCCUAUCUAGCUGAAAAGGAGAGAGUUUUGCAGCUCUGCCUUCCCCAAGCCCUCACCAAAAUAAGCCCUAUAGGAGCCCAGAGAGAUGCUCGGAGAGAUCCCCACAGGCUCCAUUGGUCACUAUCAUCUCCACCGCUCCUCCCCAUGUUUCAAACUCUUACUAAGAGGGUGUCCAAACAGUUAAUUCCCUGUGUCUGUCCAUGCCUUGCAGCAUUUCACAAUGCUAUUGUCAUCCUAGAAGGCAAGAACACAGAAGUAGGAGUUUCCUUUUUUUUUGGUGGCAUCUUUAUUUAACUGCCUCUGUGGUCCAUUUUAACUCCCUCCUUUCCAGCCAGUUGUUUCCAACAGCGGAGCGGCAGAGCCCCGGCACCAGCGCCACCUCCAGCCCAUGCUCCUUCGCCUGUCCCAGAGAUUGUAUCUUUCUUCUAAGUCAUGAGUAAACCCCUUCUUCUGUCAUGGCGUCCAGGUUUUCCCUUACAAGCAGAGGAAAGGUUGGUGGGCUGAGGUGGGUUGGAGGAGAAGACACCAAUCUGCAGCUCUGGAGUCAGCGUGGCUGAUACCCCUUCCCUAAGUCAAAGGGGCUUUCUGAGGAUAAUUAUGUUUCGGAUGUAAAGAUGCCUUCGUGUAGCAUGAAGAACCAUGAAAGAACUACGGGUAGCUCCAGUGGCAGCAUGUUAAGAUACUUUUUAUGGUGAUCCUUCUUAAAAAAAACAAAUUAAAAAAAAAAAAA